RNAcentral lists this ribosomal RNA (1483 nucleotides) under uncultured prokaryote. Its description in RNAcentral is "partial 16S ribosomal RNA". It matches the Rfam family "Bacterial small subunit ribosomal RNA". The record is from RNAcentral.
AGAGUUUGAUCCUGGCUCAGAGUGAACGCUGGCGGCGUGCUUAACACAUGCAAGUCGAACGAGAACGGGUCAUAGCUUGCUAUGACUGUCAGCUAAGUGGCGGACGGGUGAGUAAUGUAUAGUUAAUCUGCCCCCUAGAGAGGGAUAACUACUGGAAACGGUAGCUAAUACCUCAUACUCCUUCUACCUUAAUGGUAGUUGGGAAAUGUCUUUUCGCUAGGGGAUGAGACUAUAUGGUAUCAGGUAGUUGGUGGGGUAAGAGCCCACCAAGCCUAUGACACCUAGCUGGUCUGAGAGGAUGAUCAGCCACACUGGAACUGAGACACGGUCCAGACUCCUACGGGAGGCAGCAGUGGGGAAUAUUGCACAAUGGACGAAAGUCUGAUGCAGCAACGCCGCGUGGAGGAUGACACAUUUCGGUGCGUAAACUCCUUUUAUAUAGGAAGAUAAUGACGGUACUAUAUGAAUAAGCGCCGGCUAACUCCGUGCCAGCAGCCGCGGUAAUACGGAGGGCGCAAGAGUUACUCGGAAUCACUGGGCGUAAACAGCAUGUAGGCGGGUAAUUAAGUCAGAAGUGAAAUCCUAUAGCUCAGCUAUAGAACUGCUUUUGAAACUGAUUACCUAGAGUAUGGGAGAGGUAGGAGCUGGAAUUAGUGGUGUAGGGGUAAAAUCCGUAGAUAUCACUAGGAAUACCGAAAGCGAAGGCGAUCUCCUGGAACAUUACUGACGCUAAGGCGUGAAAGCGUGGGGGAGCAAACGGGAUUAGAUACCCCGGUAGUCCACGCCCUAAACGAUGUUCACUAGUCGUCGGAAUGCUAGUCAUUUCGGUGAUGCACUUAACAGAUUAAGUGAACCGCCUGGGGAGUACGGUCGCAAGAUUAAAACUCAAAGGAAUAGACGGGGACCCGCACAAGUGGUGGAGCAUGUGGUUUAAUUCGAAAAUACGCGAAGAACCUUACCUAGCCUUGACAUUGAUUGAAUAACGCAGAGAUGUGAUAGUGCUUGCUUGCAAGAACUUUCAUACAGGUGCUGCACGGCUGUCGUCAGCUCGUGUCGUGAGAUGUUGGGUUAAGUCCCGCAACGAGCGCAACCCUCGUGUUUAGUUACUAACAGUUCGGCUGAGGACUCUAGACAGACUGCCUGGGUAACCAGGAGGAAGGUGAGGACGACGUCAAGUCAUCAUGGCCCUUAUGUCCAGGGCUACACACGUGCUACAAUGGGGCAUACAAAGAGCAGCGAUACCGCGAGGUGGAGCAAAUCUGUUAAAAUGCCUCUCAGUUCGGAUAGCACUCUGCAACUCGAGUGCUUGAAGUUGGAAUCGCUAGUAAUCGUGGAUCAGCAAUGCCACGGUGAAUACGUUCCCGGGUCUUGUACUCACCGCCCGUCACACCAUGGGAAUUGAAUUCAUUCGAAGCGGGGAUGCUAAAAUAGCUACCUUCCACAGUGGAUUUAGUAACUGGGGUGAAGUCGUAACAAGGUAACC